This 920-nucleotide ribosomal RNA is filed under the name Vibrio parahaemolyticus. RNAcentral describes it as "bacterial SSU rRNA". It matches the Rfam family "Bacterial small subunit ribosomal RNA", at positions 517 to 1436 of the family's 1533-position model. Lineage: Bacteria; Pseudomonadati; Pseudomonadota; Gammaproteobacteria; Vibrionales; Vibrionaceae. The record is from RNAcentral.
GCGGUAAUACGGAGGGUGCGAGCGUUAAUCGGAAUUACUGGGCGUAAAGCGCAUGCAGGUGGUUUGUUAAGUCAGAUGUGAAAGCCCGGGGCUCAACCUCGGAAUUGCAUUUGAAACUGGCAGACUAGAGUACUGUAGAGGGGGGUAGAAUUUCAGGUGUAGCGGUGAAAUGCGUAGAGAUCUGAAGGAAUACCGGUGGCGAAGGCGGCCCCCUGGACAGAUACUGACACUCAGAUGCGAAAGCGUGGGGAGCAAACAGGAUUAGAUACCCUGGUAGUUCACGCCGUAAACGAUGUCUACUUGGAGGUUGUGGCCUUGAGCCGUGGCUUUCGGAGCUAACGCGUUAAGUAGACCGCCUGGGGAGUACGGUCGCAAGAUUAAAACUCAAAUGAAUUGACGGGGGCCCGCACAAGCGGUGGAGCAUGUGGUUUAAUUCGAUGCAACGCGAAGAACCUUACCUACUCUUGACAUCCAGAGAACUUUCCAGAGAUGGAUUGGUGCCUUCGGGAACUUUGAGACAGGUGCUGCAUGGCUGUCGUCAGCUCGUGUUGUGAAAUGUUGGGUUAAGUCCCGCAACGAGCGCAACCCUUAUCCUUGUUUGCCAGCGAGUAAUGUCGGGAACUCCAGGGAGACUGCCGGUGAUAAACCGGAGGAAGGUGGGGACGACGUCAAGUCAUCAUGGCCCUUACGAGUAGGGCUACACACGUGCUACAAUGGCGCAUACAGAGGGCGGCCAACUUGCGAAAGUGAGCGAAUCCCAAAAAGUGCGUCGUAGUCCGGAUUGGAGUCUGCAACUCGACUCCAUGAAGUCGGAAUCGCUAGUAAUCGUGGAUCAGAAUGCCACGGUGAAUACGUUCCCGGGCCUUGUACACACCGCCCGUCACACCAUGGGAGUGGGCUGCAAAAGAAGUAGUGAUGAG